RNAcentral lists this non-coding RNA (186 nucleotides) under Amylolactobacillus amylophilus. RNAcentral describes it as "Lactobacillus amylophilus Lysine sequence". It matches the Rfam family "Lysine riboswitch aptamer". From Rfam's summary of the family: Riboswitches are metabolite binding domains within certain messenger RNAs that serve as precision sensors for their corresponding targets. Allosteric rearrangement of mRNA structure is mediated by ligand binding, and this results in modulation of gene expression. Lineage: Bacteria; Bacillati; Bacillota; Bacilli; Lactobacillales; Lactobacillaceae. The record is from RNAcentral. RNAcentral also lists the same sequence under 1 other name.
CAACACUAUAGAGGUUGCGGAUAAUCACGAAGGUACUGGAGUGUGUAUUCACGAUGAAGGUAACGUAAGGAUGUCCGCCGAAAUGUCUUGCAAGAAUGCACUUGUUGGAUGUUGGGCCACCGGGAAAUACCCGCUGGACUGUCUCAAUGAGUUUUACCAAGCUUAUUGAGGAGCGCUAUGUUUUUG